CCUACGGGCGGCAGCAGUGGGGAAUAUUGGACAAUGGGCGAAAGCCUGAUCCAGCCAUGCCGCGUGUGUGAAGAAGGCCUUCGGGUUGUAAAGCACUUUCAGUGGGGAAGAAAGCCUUGGGGCCAAUACCCUCGAGGAAGGACAUCACCCACAGAAGAAGCACCGGCUAACUCCGUGCCAGCAGCCGCGGUAAUACGGAGGGUGCGAGCGUUAAUCGGAAUUACUGGGCGUAAAGCGCGCGUAGGCGGUCUGAUAAGCCGGUUGUGAAAGCCCCGGGCUCAACCUGGGAACGGCAUCCGGAACUGUCAGGCUAGAGUGCAGGAGAGGAAGGUAGAAUUCCCGGUGUAGCGGUGAAAUGCGUAGAGAUCGGGAGGAAUACCAGUGGCGAAGGCGGCCUUCUGGACUGACACUGACGCUGAGGUGCGAAAGCGUGGGUAGCAAACAGGAUUAGAUACCCGAGUAGU
This 464-nucleotide ribosomal RNA is filed under the name Vreelandella stevensii. RNAcentral describes it as "partial 16S ribosomal RNA". It matches the Rfam family "Bacterial small subunit ribosomal RNA", at positions 338 to 794 of the family's 1533-position model. The record is from RNAcentral. Lineage: Bacteria; Pseudomonadati; Pseudomonadota; Gammaproteobacteria; Oceanospirillales; Halomonadaceae.